Molecule: ribosomal RNA, 468 nt
Filed under: uncultured bacterium
Lineage: Bacteria
Description: partial 16S ribosomal RNA
Rfam family: Bacterial small subunit ribosomal RNA
Source: RNAcentral
GACGAACGCUGGCGGCGUGCCUAAUACAUGCAAGUCGAACGGAAAGGUCCUGCUCUUGCUGGUUGCUCGAGUGGCGAACGGGUGAGUAACACGUGAGUAACCUGUCCUUGUCUUUGUGAUAACUUUAGGAAACUGGGGCUAAUACCGGAUAUGAGCUCCUGCUGCACGGUGGGCGUUGGAAAGUUUCGGCGGUUGGAGAUGGACUCGCGGGUUAUCAGCUUGUUGGUGGGGUAGUGGCUUACCAAGGCUUUGACGGGUAGCCGGCCUGAGAGGGUGACCGGCCACAUUAGGACUGAGAUACGGCCCAGACGCCUACGGGAGGCAGCAGUGGAAAGUAUUACGCAGUGGGCGGAAGCCAGAUGCAACGACGCCGCGUGCGGAAUGACGGCCUUCGAGUUGUAAACCGAUUUCGACUGUGACGAGGCGUGAGUGACGGUAAUGAGUAAGAAAGCACCGGCUAACUACGUG